GCAGCAUGUGUGUAUACUGAAGCUGGAAAGACAGAGUGUACCAUGGUCCCUGGACAAGGAUGACACGCAAAUUUGUGAAGCAUUCUGCCUUUUA
RNAcentral lists this small nuclear RNA (94 nucleotides) under Mesocricetus auratus (golden hamster). The record is from RNAcentral. Lineage: Eukaryota; Metazoa; Chordata; Mammalia; Rodentia; Cricetidae.